AACGGCCAUACCAUGCUGAAUAUACCGGUUCUCGUUAGAUCACCGAAGUCAAGCAUCAUUGGGCUACGGUCAGUACAUGGGUGGGUGACCACCUGGGAACACCGCGUGCCGUU
This 113-nucleotide ribosomal RNA is filed under the name Caerostris darwini. The record is from RNAcentral. Lineage: Eukaryota; Metazoa; Arthropoda; Arachnida; Araneae; Araneidae.